GGUGCGAGCGUUAUCGGAAUACUGGGCGUAAAGCGUGCGCAGGCGGCUUUGCAAGACAGAGGUGAAAUCCCCGGGCUCAACCUGGGAACUGCCUUUGUGACCGCAAGGCUAGAGUACGGCAGAGGGGGAUGGAAUUCCGCGUGUAGCAGUGAAAUGCGUAGAUAUGCGGAGGAACACCGAUGGCGAAGGCAAUCCCCUGGGCCUGUACUGACGCUCAUGCACGAAAGCGUGGGGAGCAAACAGGAUUAGAUACCCUGGUAGUCAAGGGCG
This 270-nucleotide ribosomal RNA is filed under the name uncultured Burkholderiales bacterium. RNAcentral describes it as "partial 16S ribosomal RNA". It matches the Rfam family "Bacterial small subunit ribosomal RNA", at positions 531 to 802 of the family's 1533-position model. Lineage: Bacteria; Pseudomonadati; Pseudomonadota; Betaproteobacteria; Burkholderiales. The record is from RNAcentral.